Molecule: long non-coding RNA, 1107 nt
Organism: Plutella xylostella (diamondback moth)
Lineage: Eukaryota; Metazoa; Arthropoda; Insecta; Lepidoptera; Plutellidae
Source: RefSeq, a predicted model, not a curated record
UAUUACAGGGGCGCGAUUCACAUCUCAACCGAAAUAUUUGUAAAGCGAUACGAACGAGUUACGAGAUGAAAUCCGCAAUGUUUAAAAACGCGAUUCAUAGCACACAUACUUUGAUCUCGUUUUCAUAUCGCUAGUUCGUAUUUGGAUGGCUUGAGUGAAAUGAAUGAAACUAUAUUUUUUUUAAUUGCCAUGCAAAAAUUAUAAAUACUACCACUAAUUGUUUUAAAUAAUUUUGUUCCUACAAUAUAUUUUGUUGGAAUUAGUGUCGAUAGCAAGUAUCAAGAAACAGCUUUUUAAUUCAACGUUGAAGAAAUUCAUAACCUGUGGCACUUUUGACAGCCGCCAUGUUUUCUCCAUAAAAACAUUGAUUUUCUUUGCUCAUUUUCGUGUCAACGUAGUUUUUUUGGAAAAUAAGAAGAAAGGAAGUUUAACUUACUUAGAGAAAUACGACUGAGACAUAAACACAAGCAGCAGCCGAUGUGCUUGAGUAGCAGAAGGAGCAACUGCGUUGUGAGAGGGCCACGGCUUCAGCCCUCACAAUGAUAGCUGAUUAGCUGAAGUAAUGAACAGACAGGCUGCAGUCAAUGAGAGGCUUCUUGAGGAGGGGUUCCUCAUAUGGAAAAAGAUUUUAGCGGCGACGCAGUUGCGCGACCAGUGAAGCUCUGGCUCCGCGACCGGCGUGAAGCGCGCGGUCAGCGCGGCGCUUCUGCGGCUGCUGCGCGGGAGGAUCCCGUCCCUGCGCAUGCGCCUGGCCUUCAAUGACCUCACGCCUCUCUUCUUCCUCUUCUUCAUGCGUCAAUUCAAACAGAGGAGCACCUGUGAUUACUGAUUACCUAAGUUCCUAUAUACAAUAAUAGUUUAAUAAUUGUUAACAAAAUAUUGUAUAUAUAAGUAUUAAUAAUUACUUAUACAAAAGGCUAAAAGCAUUUUGUACCAGCCAACCUAUAGGAGAGAAUAUGAGAAAAAUAAUAAGACUUUAAUCUUUGAUUGCCAUUAUCUGUAGCUUUAUUAAGUGGUAAAGGGACCUAAUUACUACCUAUAUUUUUUUAGUAUUUGUGAUAAUUCAUAGAAUUUAUUAGUUCUAUCAAUAAAUAAAAUAUACAUGCA